GAUGAAGAACGCAGCGAAAUGCGAUAAGUAAUGUGAAUUGCAGAAUUCAGUGAAUCAUCGAAUCUUUGAACGCACAUUGCGCCCCUUGGUAUUCCGAGGGGCAUGCCUGUUCGAGCGUCAUUAUAACCCCUCAAGCUCAGCUUGGUGUUGGGGCCUGCUGCACUGGCAGCCCUUAAAAUCAGUGGCGGCGCCAUCUGGCUCUAAGCGUAGUAAUUCUUCUCGCUAUGGAGUCCUGGUGGAUGCUUGCCAUCAAUCCCCAAUUUUUCUAUGGUUGACCUCGGAUCAGGUAGGGAUACCCGCUGAACUUAAGCAUAUCAAUAAGCGGAGGA
RNAcentral lists this unclassified non-coding RNA (329 nucleotides) under soil metagenome. RNAcentral describes it as "partial contains 5.8S ribosomal RNA, internal transcribed spacer 2, and large subunit ribosomal RNA". The stretch from base 1 to 120 matches the Rfam family "5.8S ribosomal RNA", at positions 35 to 154 of the family's 154-position model. The record is from RNAcentral.